CAGCCGCCGCGGGAAUACGAAGGGUGCAAGCGUUAAUCGGAAUUACUGGGCGUAAAGCGCGCGCAGGCGGGUCAGUCAGUCUGUCUUAAAAGUUCGGGGCUUAACCCCGUGAUGGGAUGGAAACUGCUAAUCUAGAGUAUCGGAGAGGAAAGUGGAAUUCCUAGUGUAGCGGUGAAAUGCGUAGAUAUUAGGAAGAACACCAGUGGCGAAGGCGACUUUCUGGACGAAAACUGACGCUGAGGCGCGAAAGCCAGGGGAGCGAACGGGAUUAGAUACCCGUGUAGUCCCUGUCUCUUAUACA
Molecule: ribosomal RNA, 301 nt
Filed under: uncultured bacterium
Lineage: Bacteria
Description: partial 16S ribosomal RNA
Rfam family: Bacterial small subunit ribosomal RNA
Source: RNAcentral